GAUGAACGCUGGCGGCGUGCCUAAUACAUGCAAGUCGAGCGAACGGACGAGAAGCUUGCUUCUCUGAUGUUAGCGGCAGACGGGUGAGUAACACGUGGAUAACCUACCUAUAAGACUGGGAUAACUUCGGGAAACCGGAGCUAAUACCGGAUAAUAUUUUGAACCGCAUGGUUCAAAAGUGAAAGACGGUCUUGCUGUCACUUAUAGAUGGAUCCGCGCUGCAUUAGCUAGUUGGUAAGGUAACGGCUUACCAAGGCAACGAUGCAUAGCCGACCUGAGAGGGUGAUCGGCCACACUGGAACUAAGACACGGUCCAGACUCCUACGGGAGGAAGCAGUAGGGAAUCUUCCGCAAUGGGCGCAAGCCUGACGGAGCAACGCCGCGUGAGUGAUGAAGGUCUUCGGAUCGUAAAACUCUGUUAUUAGGGAAGAACAUAUGUGUAAGUAACUGUGCACAUCUUGACGGUACCUAAUCAGAAAGCCACGGCUAACUACGUG
This 497-nucleotide ribosomal RNA is filed under the name uncultured bacterium. Its description in RNAcentral is "partial 16S ribosomal RNA". It matches the Rfam family "Bacterial small subunit ribosomal RNA", at positions 28 to 507 of the family's 1533-position model. The record is from RNAcentral.